CCCUUAGAUGUUCUGGGCCGCACGCGCGCUACACUGAUGCAUUCAACAAGCCUAGCCUUGACCGAGAGGUCCGGGUAAUCUUUGAAACUGCAUCGUGAUGGGGCUAGAUUAUUGCAAUUAUUAAUCUUCAACGAGGAAUGCCUAGUAAGCGUGAUUCAUCAAAUCGCGUUGAUUACGUCCCUGCCCUUUGUACACACCGCCCGUCGCUCCUACCGAUUGAAUGUGUUGGUGAGGAGCUGGGAUUGGCAGCAGUUGGUGGUUCGCCACCGGCUAUUGCUGAGAAGUCCUCCAAACCGCCCCAUUUAGAGGAAGGAGAAGUCGUAACA
RNAcentral lists this ribosomal RNA (326 nucleotides) under uncultured eukaryote. RNAcentral's name for it is "partial 18S ribosomal RNA". It matches the Rfam family "Eukaryotic small subunit ribosomal RNA", at positions 1470 to 1796 of the family's 1831-position model. The record is from RNAcentral.